UGCUAUGGCGGCUGUGCGCGGGACACCUUCGGGUGUGUCGGGCUUCCAUUCUUGUCCCGGCCGGCUAACCCGCGCCCAGCUGCCACCUAU
Molecule: non-coding RNA, 90 nt
Filed under: Pseudomonas chlororaphis
Lineage: Bacteria; Pseudomonadati; Pseudomonadota; Gammaproteobacteria; Pseudomonadales; Pseudomonadaceae
Source: RNAcentral